This 1311-nucleotide long non-coding RNA is filed under the name Equus asinus (donkey). Its description in RNAcentral is "lncRNA (ENSEASG00005025506.1)". Lineage: Eukaryota; Metazoa; Chordata; Mammalia; Perissodactyla; Equidae. The record is from RNAcentral.
GUCGUAAUGACUCAGCAUCCCCGGUGCGUGCGCCUUCCGGAACAGCUCGCGACAAUCCAGCGGCAUGGGUCGCCACGCACCCGACCUCCUGCGGCCUCCUUCAACUCGGACCCGAGAACUGCCGCCUCCGGCCUCCGUGAACCUCUCCCCGGGCUACUCCCUACGCCCUUAUUGCGAUGAUCCCUUGGUUUCCAGUUUCUGCCCGACUCCUGUCCAGCGGCCCCGAAUUAAGGCCUGGCUUAUCUUAAUGCCCAUACCUCAGUUUCCCCAUCUGUAUAACAGGGCUUUUGUUUGGCAGUAUGCCCGCCAUAGGCGCAGGAAAGAAAAGCCGUUUGCGGAGGCCGGAGGUGGCAGCGACUGUAUGGAGCUGAGAGAGGGGCCGGAAGAAGCCCUGGGCCUGGAACUCCAGCAGGACAGGGCGCACUCCCUGGAUGGCUGGCCUCUCUGGGGGAACCAGACGACGGAGAAGCUCAAUUUGGGUGCCCAGUUCUUCAGCCUCUUCUCCUAUCUUCACUCCCUCUCAUCCAGACUCUCAUCUAGAGAUCCUGUCAAAUGCUGUCUAUUCACUGAUGACUCCCAAGUUUUUCCUCCAGCUCGAACCUUUUCUCCCCUGUUCUCCAGACAUGAAGACCCAACUCAACACCUCCACUUAGAUGUCUAAUAGCUUUUGAAAACUUAACAUGUCCAAAAAAGAGAUCAUGAUCACCCCUCCAAAAUUUGCAUCUCUCCAAGAUGCAAUGACAAUUCCAUUUUUCCAGGGGCUCAGGUGGAAGACUGGAUGUCACCCUUGACUGUUCUCUCUCUCUCACCAGGAAAUUGUCAAUUCUUCAAAGUUCUCACAAUGACUUACAAGGUCCUUUGUGAUCUCGUUGCCUGCCUUCCCUCGCUGACCCCAUCUGCUGUCCCUGUUCCCUCACUCACUCCACUCCAGCCACACGUGCCUCCUUCUUCUGAAACAUCUCAGCAUGCCCCAUUUUGCAGUUGCUUUUUCUGGUGCCUGUGCACUUUCCCCCAGAUGUCAAGUUGGCAUGCUUCCUCACCUUUUCCAGGCUUUUGCUUACAUGUUGCCUCAUUAGUGAGAUUUCCCUUGACCGGUCUAUUCAAAAUUGCAACUCCUAUUCCAAGCACUCUCUCCAGCCUCUCUUUUCUCAAUAGCACUUACUAGCGUCUGACAUACCAUAUAUUUUACUUAUGUGUCACUUCUGUACCCGCAGCACCUGGACCACUACUUGUAACAUAGAAGGUGCUGGAAGGGGUUGUGUUAAAUGAAUAAACGAAUGAACAAAUGAAGCAGUCCGGGGCAUGGGGAGC